RNAcentral lists this long non-coding RNA (1251 nucleotides) under Equus caballus (horse). RNAcentral describes it as "lncRNA (ENSECAG00000048085.1)". The record is from RNAcentral. Lineage: Eukaryota; Metazoa; Chordata; Mammalia; Perissodactyla; Equidae.
AAAGAAACUAUUUUGGAAAAUGAUGUUUUACUCUUUUCCAAUGUAUAGCAAAAUUGAUGUGAUUAUUUUUCCUUUAAAGAUUUCUUCAUGUUUAUGAAACGGCCUUUUAUUUUUUUAAAAAGGUUUUGAAUUGUGUCUUACUCUCUCAAUAUUUAACUGCCCUUCAUUUGCAACAGUAGUGACACCACUAAUGUUGGACCAAGAUACACUGUUUUUUAAACAUUUCAUUAGCUCACUUCUCCCAAACACACUAUUUCUAUUUCAGGAGUACAAAGGCAUGUUUUUAAAUCUAUAAAAUAAAGAAUAAGGGAUAGCUUUGUAUUUUUGUUGUUGACUAAAUUGCACCAGAAAUGUUUAUGGAAGUAUAUCUUUAAGACCAUUUUAUAAAACAUAACAAAAAAAUAGUUGUGGAGGAUUUUUAUUUGCAUGAUCAUAGUUAACCAAAUUUCAUUGCACAUUAAUUCUGUACAUCAGUUCAUAAAAAAUGUUCAUUGUAGAUUUUGUUCAAUGCCAAUGAGUCUGUGAUUUUACAACUUGUCUGGUCACUUUUCGGGAGGAUUAUGUUGUAAAUUUUCCAUUCUUCUGUAGAAAAAUAGGUGCAAUAAUUAUCAAAGUUUCGAUGUCUUGAGUCUUCAUCUUAGGGAAUUAUUUUAUUAUUAUGUUUAAACUUAACAUUUCACGUACUAACAUUUGGAGAGCCACAUGCUAUAAUUAAAGUAAAAUUAAGUAUGUAUAAAACAUUAAUUGCUAACAAUGGUUAGCAAACUUUUCAGUGAUAAUGUUCAUUUUGAAAAUAUGUACUGUAUAAAAUUAAGAAAAUGUGUAACUCACUGUAACAAGUUCCAUUAUGAAAAUCUUAUGAUUCUUCAGUGAGGUUAUCUUGCUGCACUCUGUAGCAAAUCCAUUUAAUCUACAUUAUAAUAAAAUUUCUUGCUGCAGUGCAACAGGAAGCUUUUUCAGUGAUCUCCACUGUAUAUGUAAAUUACAAAUGUGGCUGUACAACUUGUUCUAGGUAUUAAAGGUUAAAUUGCUUUCUGUAUCUUCUUACAACUUGUAAGUUUGAUUUUUAAGAUUUCCUUUUGCCCACGACGAAUGUCAGGAAUUUAAGAAUUUGUUUAACUUAGGCAUUUCUCCCCUACCACAUAGUAUUAUGUCACCAUAAUGAACAAUUGGUAUUUAGAUAGAUAACCAAUUUUCAGACACAUUUUCGGAUUUUCUGUGAAGUUGAAUAAACAUGAAAGCUAAUAUAUG